RNAcentral lists this ribosomal RNA (331 nucleotides) under uncultured bacterium. RNAcentral's name for it is "bacterial SSU rRNA". It matches the Rfam family "Bacterial small subunit ribosomal RNA", at positions 568 to 898 of the family's 1533-position model. The record is from RNAcentral.
UCCGUAGGCGGUGCGGCAAGUCGGAAGUGAAAUCUCAGGGCUUAACCCUAGAGGCUGCUUCCGAAACUGCCGUGCUCGAGUGCGAGAGAGGCGAGUGGAAUUGCAGGUGUAGCGGUGAAAUGCGUAGAUAUCUGCAGGAACAUCCGAGGCGAAAGCGGCUCGCUGGAUCGCAACUGACGCUGAGGGACGAAAGCUAGGGGAGCAAACAGGAUUAGAUACCCUGGUAGUCCUAGCCCUAAACGAUCAGGACUGGGCGUGGGCCUCGUACGGGGCUCGUGCCGCAGCUAACGCGUUAAGUCCUGCGCCUGGGGAGUACGGUCGCAAGGCUGAA